UCACUAGUGAUUAGAGUUUGNNCCUGGCUCAGGAUGAACGCUGACAGAAUGCUUAACACAUGCAAGUCGAUUCAAGUUACCUUCNNNNAAUGAGGAUGGCGGACGGGUGAGUAACGCGUAAGGAACUUGCCUCUUGGUCUGGGACAACUGUUGGAAACGACAGCUAAUACCGGAUAUUAUGAGAUUCUCGCAUGGGAAACUUAUGAAAGCUAUAUGCGCCAAGAGAGAGCCUUGCGUUCCAUUANCNAGUUGGUGGGGUAACGGCCCACCAAGGCGACNAUGGAUAGCCGGCCUGAGAGGGUGAACGGCCAC
This 312-nucleotide ribosomal RNA is filed under the name uncultured prokaryote. RNAcentral describes it as "partial 16S ribosomal RNA". It matches the Rfam family "Bacterial small subunit ribosomal RNA", at positions 1 to 311 of the family's 1533-position model. The record is from RNAcentral.